This 442-nucleotide ribosomal RNA is filed under the name uncultured bacterium. RNAcentral describes it as "partial 16S ribosomal RNA". It matches the Rfam family "Bacterial small subunit ribosomal RNA", at positions 338 to 795 of the family's 1533-position model. The record is from RNAcentral.
CUUACGGGAGGCUGCAGUGGGGAAUAUUGCACAAUGGGGGAAACCCUGAUGCAGCGACGCCGCGUGAGUGAAGAAGUAAUUCGUUAUGUAAAGCUCUAUCAACAGGGAAGAAAAUGACGGUACCUGAGUAAGAAGCCCCGGCUAACUACGUGCCAGCAGCCGCGGUAAUACGUAGGGGGCAAGCGUUAUCCGGAUUGACUGGGUGUAAAGAGUUGCGUAGGUGGCAUAAUAAGUAGCUAGUGAAAUCUGGUGGCUCAACCAUUCAGACUAUUAGCUAAACUGUUAAGCUCGAGACCGUUAGGGGUAACUGGAAUUUCUAGUGUAGGAGUGAAAUCCGUAGAUAUUAGAAGGAACACCAAUAGCGUAGGCAGGUUACUGGGACGGUUCUGACACUAAGGCACGAAAGCGUAGGGAGCAAACGGGAUUAGAUACCCCGGUAGUC